RNAcentral lists this transfer RNA (77 nucleotides) under Clostridia bacterium. RNAcentral's name for it is "tRNA-Val". It matches the Rfam family "tRNA". Rfam says of the family: Transfer RNA (tRNA) molecules are approximately 80 nucleotides in length. Their secondary structure includes four short double-helical elements and three loops (D, anti-codon, and T loops). RNAcentral also lists the same sequence under 1 other name. Lineage: Bacteria; Bacillati; Bacillota; Clostridia. The record is from RNAcentral.
GGAUGAUUAGCUCAGUUGGUUAGAGUGCUUGCUUGACAUGCAAGAGGUCACCUGUUCGAGUCAGGUAUUGUCCACCA